UACGUAGGGAGCAAGCGUUGUCCGGAAUCAUUGGGCGUAAAGCGCGCGUAGGCGGCCCUGUAAGUCCGUUGUGAAAGUCAAAGGCUCAACCUUUGAAAGCCGAUGGAUACUGCAGGGCUCGAGUCCGGAAGAGGCGAGUGGAAUUCCUGGUGUAGCGGUGAAAUGCGCAGAUAUCAGGAGGAACACCAAUGGCGAAGGCAGCUCGCUGGGACGGUACUGACGCUGAGACGCGAAAGCGUGGGGAGCAAACAGG
This 253-nucleotide ribosomal RNA is filed under the name uncultured bacterium. Its description in RNAcentral is "partial 16S ribosomal RNA". It matches the Rfam family "Bacterial small subunit ribosomal RNA", at positions 524 to 776 of the family's 1533-position model. The record is from RNAcentral.